GUAUUAAUUGCGUGUGAUCGCAAAAGAAAAACAUUCUACACUGUAUCGAGUUUGUGUGAAAACGUGACGCGGUGGUGCACAUAGGGGUGAGAUGGAUGUUUGAGAACGCUCGGGCGUGCACGACGAAAAAGUCAGCGACAGCCCUCGCGCCUCGGUUUUACGAUAAUGAUCCUUCCGCAGGUUCACCUACGGAAA
RNAcentral lists this unclassified non-coding RNA (195 nucleotides) under uncultured fungus. RNAcentral's name for it is "sequence contains ITS1". The record is from RNAcentral. Lineage: Eukaryota; Fungi.